GCCCGCCUAGCUCAAUCGGUAGAGCGUCAGACUCUUAAGAGUGCUUACGUCAUCUCACGUGACUUGAUUACGUCAUCUGAAGGCUGUGGGUUCGACCCCCACGGUGGGCU
This is a transfer RNA of Sistotremastrum niveocremeum HHB9708, 110 nucleotides long. It matches the Rfam family "tRNA". From Rfam's summary of the family: Transfer RNA (tRNA) molecules are approximately 80 nucleotides in length. Their secondary structure includes four short double-helical elements and three loops (D, anti-codon, and T loops). Further hydrogen bonds mediate the characteristic L-shaped molecular structure. tRNAs have two regions of fundamental functional importance: the anti-codon, which is responsible for specific mRNA codon recognition, and the 3' end, to which the tRNAs corresponding amino acid is attached (by aminoacyl-tRNA synthetases). tRNAs cope with the degeneracy of the genetic code in two manners: having more than one tRNA (with a specific anti-codon) for a particular amino acid; and 'wobble' base-pairing, i.e. permitting non-standard base-pairing at the 3rd anti-codon position. Lineage: Eukaryota; Fungi; Basidiomycota; Agaricomycetes; Sistotremastrales; Sistotremastraceae. The record is from Rfam.